Long non-coding RNA from Melopsittacus undulatus (budgerigar), 911 nucleotides. RefSeq lists it as uncharacterized. Lineage: Eukaryota; Metazoa; Chordata; Aves; Psittaciformes; Psittaculidae. The record is from RefSeq and is a predicted model, not a curated record. The transcript is spliced from 4 exons.
CUCUGCUCGGCUGCAGGACCUGUUGAGGACAGAGCUCCCUAGGGCCCUUGGGAAUUUUUCCCGGAAGGACCCCUCGACUCAUUCGGAUCGCUGCAGGAGCAGACAAGGACCAUCUUCAUAAAAGGUGUCUGAAUGCUUAAAUCAGCCAGGAGUAGCCAUAGGCUUGGGUUGGAUUUUCCUAGGGGGAGAUCGUGUUUGUAAAAGCCAGUUGCAUGGAUGGAGAAGGUCAGCUCAUUUUGACUGGUCAGCUUGGAGAUGUGAUGAAGGAGUCAAUGCAUCUUGUAAUCAGCUGGCUGUGCAGCAACACUGAGAUAUGCUUCUAGAAGUUUUGAUCUCCUUGACAACACCAACAUCCAUCUGCACUUCCCAGCUGGAGCUGUCACAAAAGAUGGACCCUCUGCUGGCAUUACCAUAGUAAGGAGAAUUAAAAGACAAAGUCCUGGCAGCAUACAGAGCUGGACUGAAGAAAAUUAUCAUUCCUCAGAGAAAUUAUCUUGAAGAAAUUUCAGUGAAUGUACAGCAAGAUUUGACUUUUGUUAUGGCAAGCUGCCUGGAUGAAGUUCUUGACACCGCUUUUGAUGGAGGUUUUGCAGUUAAGCCUGGAGUUGAGUACUUGAAUAGUAAACUUUUAAGAGCCAGGCCAAGAUUUUGUCUGUUUCAAGUUUCACAAGGAUCAAGAGCUAUCAACAUAUCAAGUAGAACUAUGAGCUAAAUUUGAUUGUUAAAAUGUGGGUGUAAAUGCUCUUCCUGCUCACUAAUUCUGAAACAAACUCAAGUGUGAUCAUGAAAUGUAUACUUUGUCACUGACAAAAACUAUUAUAGAAACAACCUAUAGAUCAAAAGUAAGCAUUUGUUUUGCUUUAAUUUCAGUAGACAGAAAGCUGAUUUACCUCAAACAUAACAGCAUCAUA